RNAcentral lists this long non-coding RNA (728 nucleotides) under Homo sapiens (human). Its description in RNAcentral is "T cell receptor gamma locus antisense RNA 1". The record is from RNAcentral. Lineage: Eukaryota; Metazoa; Chordata; Mammalia; Primates; Hominidae.
GGCAUAGAGAGCUCAGGCCUGCAGCAGAGGGAGUGCAGAUGUGGGGGAAGCUGACCCUGGAGUUAACAGGCUCAGACCUUAAAGGGGGUAGUCUCACAGCAGGUUCACACCCAGCACUUCAGAGUUUCAGCAAGUAAGGCAACUGCAAGACCCUCAUUCUGCCGGGAAGCUUCUGAUUAGGGCCCUAAACCACCAUCCUUUUCACAUCUGCAAGGACACUAGAGGCAACACCCAGGGUCACUCUGAGAGGGCCUGAACCUGCUUUAUUAACAGGAUCGAGGGUCAGGACCGAAGUAAGUCGUGAUGCAGGAAAUGAGUGCGUUUCACAGCUUGCUGAGCCCCUACUCGACCCAGGAAGCCCAGCUGGCCCCUCCUCUCAACAGGAGUGAGAAUCAGACUCAUGGAGGCAACCACUCAAGGCCACUCUGAGAAGGGUUGAACGUGCUUUAAAUUAAAAGGACUGAGGAUCAUGUGUGUUGGUGUGUCCUGGACUCUGCUCUAAGGCCCUGUGGCUGCCUGGUGCCCUGGGAAUGGUCCGGUCAUGGGCCUCAGCCCAGGAUGAGCAGCCAACAAUGCAAUCCCACGAAGAGUGUGCGGAAGGGAGAGGUUACUUCUCAAGAUGGAGCUGCCAAAUAGGGACACUUUGGAGAGUCUGGCCUGAGAACUUUUAGUUUCAAGAAUGUAUUGCUUUGGAAAAGACAGAAUAAAAGUCCAAGCACUGCCACUUA